RNAcentral lists this long non-coding RNA (601 nucleotides) under Homo sapiens (human). RNAcentral describes it as "HSALNT0399530". Lineage: Eukaryota; Metazoa; Chordata; Mammalia; Primates; Hominidae. The record is from RNAcentral.
GGGAUUCCUAGAGGUUAUUAAUUCCCCUGCUGUGGGACAGUCAUUCAAUGUUUGAAGAAAGUAAUUGUUUACUUCCCUCCCUUGAUUCUUUGACAGAAGAUCACCAGGGCUCUCAACCAAUCAUCAGUGCUCUCAACCAAUCAUCAGUGCUCUCAGACAAUCAUCAGUGCUCUCAGCCAAUCAUUAGUGCUCUCAGCCAAUCAUCAGUACUCUCAGCCAAUCAUCAGAUCACCUGAAUUCUAGAUUUUCCAUCAUCUCAGCCACCUUUUUUCACAUGCAACUUGUUAAACGUUGUCCAAGGAUGAGAUGGAAUGAAAUGGACACCUUUAGUGUACAGAUAACAUGGACGGAAGUUCUGUUGUAACAAGGCUCACUGUUUCCAAAAUCAAAUCAGUGACAAAACCAUGAAGAUCAUAGGAUUUGGAAGGUGAAAAAUCAUAGCAUUCAGGACUGCAGGUGCCACCAGCUAAUUGGGCUCACUGGGCUCUGAAACUGCAAGGAGGUGCUGUGACAAGUUACUGAGAACCAAGAAACUUUGGUAACCCCUGAAAUUUGGUGAAAAAAUGAAAUCAAAACUGUGUAAAUACAGUCAACAAUCUCA